RNAcentral lists this ribosomal RNA (437 nucleotides) under Aggregatibacter aphrophilus. RNAcentral describes it as "bacterial SSU rRNA". It matches the Rfam family "Bacterial small subunit ribosomal RNA", at positions 66 to 493 of the family's 1533-position model. The record is from RNAcentral. Lineage: Bacteria; Pseudomonadati; Pseudomonadota; Gammaproteobacteria; Pasteurellales; Pasteurellaceae.
ACGGUAACAGGUAAGUCUUGUACUUAUGCUGACGAGUGGCGGACGGGUGAGUAAUGCUUGGGGAUCUGGCUUAUGGAGGGGGAUAACGACGGGAAACUGUCGCUAAUACCGCGUAGAAUCGGGAGAUGAAAGUGUGGGACCUUCGGGCCACAUGCCAUAGGAUGAACCCAAGUGGGAUUAGGUAGUUGGUGGGGUAAUGGCCUACCAAGCCGACGAUCUCUAGCUGGUCUGAGAGGAUGACCAGCCACACCGGGACUGAGACACGGCCCGGACUCCUACGGGAGGCAGCAGUGGGGAAUAUUGCGCAAUGGGGGCAACCCUGACGCAGCCAUGCCGCGUGAAUGAAGAAGGCCUUCGGGUUGUAAAGUUCUUUCGGUGACGAGGAAGGUUGUUGUGUUAAUAGCGCAACAAAUUGACGUUAAUCACAGAAGAAGCAC